RNAcentral lists this ribosomal RNA (1407 nucleotides) under Lactobacillus delbrueckii subsp. bulgaricus. Its description in RNAcentral is "bacterial SSU rRNA". It matches the Rfam family "Bacterial small subunit ribosomal RNA", at positions 61 to 1434 of the family's 1533-position model. The record is from RNAcentral. RNAcentral also lists the same sequence under 1 other name. Lineage: Bacteria; Bacillati; Bacillota; Bacilli; Lactobacillales; Lactobacillaceae.
GUCGAACGAACUCUGGUAUUGAUUGGUGCUUGCAUCAUGAUUUACAUUUGAGUGAGUGGCGAACUGGUGAGUAACACGUGGGAAACCUGCCCAGAAGCGGGGGAUAACACCUGGAAACAGAUGCUAAUACCGCAUAACAACUUGGACCGCAUGGUCCGAGUUUGAAAGAUGGCUUCGGCUAUCACUUUUGGAUGGUCCCGCGGCGUAUUAGCUAGAUGGUGAGGUAACGGCUCACCAUGGCAAUGAUACGUAGCCGACCUGAGAGGGUAAUCGGCCACAUUGGGACUGAGACACGGCCCAAACUCCUACGGGAGGCAGCAGUAGGGAAUCUUCCACAAUGGACGAAAGUCUGAUGGAGCAACGCCGCGUGAGUGAAGAAGGGUUUCGGCUCGUAAAACUCUGUUGUUAAAGAAGAACAUAUCUGAGAGUAACUGUUCAGGUAUUGACGGUAUUUAACCAGAAAGCCACGGCUAACUACGUGCCAGCAGCCGCGGUAAUACGUAGGUGGCAAGCGUUGUCCGGAUUUAUUGGGCGUAAAGCGAGCGCAGGCGGUUUUUUAAGUCUGAUGUGAAAGCCUUCGGCUCAACCGAAGAAGUGCAUCGGAAACUGGGAAACUUGAGUGCAGAAGAGGACAGUGGAACUCCAUGUGUAGCGGUGAAAUGCGUAGAUAUAUGGAAGAACACCAGUGGCGAAGGCGGCUGUCUGGUCUGUAACUGACGCUGAGGCUCGAAAGUAUGGGUAGCAAACAGGAUUAGAUACCCUGGUAGUCCAUACCGUAAACGAUGAAUGCUAAGUGUUGGAGGGUUUCCGCCCUUCAGUGCUGCAGCUAACGCAUUAAGCAUUCCGCCUGGGGAGUACGGCCGCAAGGCUGAAACUCAAAGGAAUUGACGGGGGCCCGCACAAGCGGUGGAGCAUGUGGUUUAAUUCGAAGCUACGCGAAGAACCUUACCAGGUCUUGACAUACUAUGCAAAUCUAAGAGAUUAGACGUUCCCUUCGGGGACAUGGAUACAGGUGGUGCAUGGUUGUCGUCAGCUCGUGUCGUGAGAUGUUGGGUUAAGUCCCGCAACGAGCGCAACCCUUAUUAUCAGUUGCCAGCAUUAAGUUGGGCACUCUGGUGAGACUGCCGGUGACAAACCGGAGGAAGGUGGGGAUGACGUCAAAUCAUCAUGCCCCUUAUGACCUGGGCUACACACGUGCUACAAUGGAUGGUACAACGAGUUGCGAACUCGCGAGAGUAAGCUAAUCUCUUAAAGCCAUUCUCAGUUCGGAUUGUAGGCUGCAACUCGCCUACAUGAAGUCGGAAUCGCUAGUAAUCGCGGAUCAGCAUGCCGCGGUGAAUACGUUCCCGGGCCUUGUACACACCGCCCGUCACACCAUGAGAGUUUGUAACACCCAAAGUCGGUGGG